This 468-nucleotide ribosomal RNA is filed under the name Sepioteuthis lessoniana. Its description in RNAcentral is "partial 16S ribosomal RNA". It matches the Rfam family "Bacterial large subunit ribosomal RNA", at positions 1926 to 2616 of the family's 2925-position model. The record is from RNAcentral. Lineage: Eukaryota; Metazoa; Mollusca; Cephalopoda; Myopsida; Loliginidae.
AACAGCUGCGGUAUUUUAACUGUACUAAGGUAGCAUAAUAAUUUGCCUUAUAAUUUGAGGCUAGAAUGAAUGGUUUGACGAAGGUUUAUCUGUCUCUGUUUCAUUUUUUAGAAAUUAAUUUUCAGAGUGAAAAAGCUUGAAUUUUUUAAAGGGACGAGAAGACCCUAUUGAGCUUGUAAUUUUUAUAUAAUUAUAUUACUAUAAUAGUAAUUAUUUAUAAAUUUUAGUUGGGGUGACUAAGGAAUAAAGAAGUAACUUCCUUAAAAUAAAAAUUGUUGAAUAAAGUAACCAAUAUAGUAUUGCUUAUAAUAUAGUUACCAUAGGGAUAACAGCGUAAUUUAUUUAGAGAGCUCAUAUUGAAAAAUAAGAUUGCGACCUCGAUGUUGGAUUAAAGUAACCUUAAGGUGCAGAAGCCUUAAUUGGUAAAUCUGUUCGAUUUUUAAAACUUUACGUGAUCUGAGUUCAGAC